Molecule: ribosomal RNA, 332 nt
Filed under: uncultured bacterium
Lineage: Bacteria
Description: bacterial SSU rRNA
Rfam family: Bacterial small subunit ribosomal RNA
Source: RNAcentral
CGUGUAGGCGGUUGGGCAAGUCAGAUGUGAAAGCCUUCCGCUCAACGGAAGAAGGGCAUUUGAAACUACCCGGCUGGAGUACGGGAGAGGAGAGUGGAAUUCCCGGUGUAGAGGUGAAAUUCGUAGAUAUCGGGAGGAACACCAGUGGCGAAGGCGGCUCUCUGGUCCGAUACUGACGCUGAGACGCGAAAGCGUGGGGAGCAAACAGGAUUAGAUACCCUGGUAGUCCACGCCGUAAACGAUGGGCACUAGGUGUAGGAGGUAUUGACCCCUUCUGUGCCGAAGCUAACGCAUUAAGUGCCCCGCCAGGGGAGUACGGCCGCAAGGCUAAA